Long non-coding RNA from Felis catus (domestic cat), 4507 nucleotides. RefSeq lists it as uncharacterized. The record is from RefSeq and is a predicted model, not a curated record. Lineage: Eukaryota; Metazoa; Chordata; Mammalia; Carnivora; Felidae. The transcript has 6 exons.
CCGAAACCCACCCCUGCCACCGCUAGAGUCGCGGCUCUGUUGAUGACUUCUGGGAAGUGUUGGAAACAGGGCCUUAAAAAAAGAAUGGCGUCCAUUUACAUAAUGCUUUGUUUGCAUUUUGCAAGUUUUUUUCGGUUGAACCUACAGAAAUCCCACAGUGUCGUUUUAGUCGUGGCAGUCUCGACAGGCAUUUAGGACAAUGGUGUGCUCCUUUUGGGACCGCAUUUAGUCAGGGUUGCUGAGUUAGUGCUUGGAGAAUUCUUGCGAUUUCCCCCCACACUCUUCACUUUCCCGCUUCUGCGUUUCGGCCUUUCCCCCGUUUCCCCUUUUGGUGCGAUCGCCUCGCCCCGCUCCCCUUGGGGGCGGCCCCUGUCGGGCCCCGCCAUCUUGGAAGGCCUUUCUUGCCGGUUCGCCACCGCACGUCCCUCUCGCCAAAGAAAGGUCGCUUGGGAGGCUCGUAUGAAUUCACUUAGGCCCAGAGAGAUGAAGUGACUAAUUCAAGGUCACACAGUGGAGGAUGGAUUCCAGACCUUCUGAUUUCCUUAUUGACCUGCAGUAUCUUGUGUAUACGUGAUUGAAUUCCACACCACCCAUUUUACAGAUGAAGCCACUGAGAUAUGGAACAAUUGACUAAAUAGUCACUGCCCCACCCCUGGAGCCUCACACAUGACUCUUCUCCUCCCAUUUGAAUGACUGCAGGUGAUCUCAACUUCUCUGACAGCUCCACUUAACCAUCUACACAUGGAUGAUGCCCAGAUCUUUCUAUGAACCACAGUAUCCAACUGCUCAUGUGGACAACAUCACAAGGAUGUUUUGCACACUCGGCAAAAUGCAGCCUCCUGCUCUUCCCCACUUGCUCGUCAUCCAUUGUCCUCAUCACAUGUGAAAAGUGGUCUUGUCACUGUAAAUAUGGUGGUUGAGAAUGUGACUCUGAUAUGAUGUGAUGUGAUAUGGUAUAUGAUUCUGGAGCCAGCCUGCUGGGGCCUGAAUUCGGACAUAACCACUUACUGUGUGUGACCUUGGUUCUCUAAGCACAUGCUAUUGGAUAAUCCUGCCUGGAUCAGUCCUUUCCUCACCUUGGACUUCACCUUCUUUUCCUCUUUAUUCUAUCUGCUAAAGUUGCCAGCCAGCCUCUUUCACCCCAGAGGGGGAUCCGGCUCCUGAAAUCCCAGCCUAUAGCUAGUGCCUCAUGCUUCCUGGGGGCUUGCCAAGAAAGUCAAGUAAGUAGAACAUGCACGUUGCUAAAGAGUACCUCAGAGAACUCCCAUACUGAAUUGUGAUUUAUAGGCAGCAUAGUACAUUGUGCCAAGUGAUUACACUUAGGCCUUUUUUAAUUGUAAUAAUCUGCUUCUGUGAUCCUGUAUGUGGAAAACCCAGAAGUGUCUCUGUGGUCCUCCUUUCUGGAUCACUAAGAAGUCAAGACACAGUCCCACUCUGCCACCUGUAUUAAUCUGACUGUUGAAACCAUUCAGAGAAGCAAGGUAUGUUUCUGGAAGUAGAGCCCAGGCCUCCUACAGGCUAUUCUAAGGCUGUAACCAUGAUCAAAUCUGUUGCUGCUUCAUUUAAAAGAACUUAGAAUAGUGUUGGAAACAUCAUAGGAUUAAAGCACCACUGUAGCUUCUUGGCUAAGGAAGUGGUGUAUGGUGGCCAGAGAAGAUGUGGUAGCAAAGGCUCCCAAGUUCUUUUCUGGACCUGUUGAUUUGAGGUGAGACAUUUGACAAUCGGAGAUGAUGUCCUUUAGCUCUCAUGGUUUCUCAUCUUCAACACAGAGUGAUGUGGGUGGGCCAUGCUUGUAGAGAGAGAGGCUGACAUUGUGAUCUAGAAAAGCUCAUCAUUAGGUGUCCUUCCUUUCAUUUGAAUUUCUAGUUCUAUUUUUAUUUUAUUAUUAUUUUUUUAGUUUUUAAAGAUUUUUGUUAUUUUAAGUAAUCUCUGUACCCAAUGUGGGGCUUGAACUCACAACCCCGAGAUCAAGAGUCGCGCUCUCCACCAACUGAGCCUGUCAAGCACCUCUGUAACUCUUUUUUUUUUAAAUGUAGAAAUCCUACACGCACAGAAUUAAUAUAGGAACCCAGCAACAUCCACAUUUUACUUGAAUUCAUUUCAUCAGAAUUGCUUUCCUUUUAAUAGUGUGAUUAGAUCAGUUCUAAGGGAUGGAAACUGAUAAGGCUUAGGAAAAGAAGGCUAGGUUUGUGUGGGGCACACACCUUGGCCUUGGACAGCUAGAGAAUAACAUUAGGGCACCAGGUACAUGAUGAACUAGAUGGGAGAGAACAAACUCUUUAUUCCUGGAGAGCCAGGCAUGUGUCAGAUUUUCAUAUGUUUUCUUUUUUUUUUUCUUCUUUUUCUUUUUCAUAUGUUUUCUUACUUAAUUAUCAUAAUGGAAACCAAUGAAGUAUCAUCUUCAUUUUUUCACAUGGGCAAGCUGAUAGUCAAAGAAGUUAUGUAACUUGCCCAAUGUCAGACAGCUAAUAAAAGGCUGAGCUAGGAUUUACUUCUCCUCAGGUCUGUCCAGUUCCAAAGCCCAUGCUGUUUUCACAGAGCUUGUCUGUCUCUGACAAGAUUUAAGGAAAGAGGGUAGGGAAGGCAGAGAAGAUGGGAGAGAUGCCAUCUUUCUCUGCCUCACAGUUGUACUUGUUGAGACGUGUUUAGCCAGAGCAUCUUGUUUAUAGAAUGCUAGGUUCUAUAUAUAGAGAUGCUGCAACAACAUAUGUGGGAAAGAUACCAAUUGGCUCUAGGGGAGGAUUUUAAAAAAGUCUUUGUUCUUUACCUCUAGGUCUUCAUUGCAGUGUAAUCCACAAGUGUCAAAACACCACUGGCAACUCUGGUUUACUGCUUAAGAGGCACUUAUCCUAUUCUCCAGAUAACAUUUAUUGAUGUGUCCCAAGGAGUAAGCUAUGAUGGGGGCAGAGGUGAGGGUGUGGUGUGCCCUUACUGUAUGUACUGGAGCUGGUGGCACCUGUUAUGUGACUAUUACGGUGAAUUAUUACUGAGUAAACAAGAGGUGUCUCUCUUUUGCCUUUCUAAGGGAGACCAGAUGGCAGUGGUUGCUGGCUUAGGUCCAGGGGAGCCUGGCCUCUGGGCUGGCAGAGGAGACAGCUUGAGUGUGUCAGGUGAUGGAAUAAGAAGAAACAAGGCUGGAUUGUCAAGUGGUAUAAUUUCAGGGGCACCAAGAAUGUGUCCUGCCUCUCUAAGACUUACUUCAGCUCUUUGCUAGUGCUUGGAAUUCAGCAAGUGAAAUUUAUUUCCCUUAAUUUAAGUCUUCGAGACCCUAUUAAAAACGAAGAUAUGAAGAAUUUAGGCAUGAUGUUGUCUGGAGAAUAGCUGACAGGCAGAAUGUAACAAGGAGUGUGAUGGUCUGUGGUUUGCUGUGAUGUCCUCAGACAAGACUGGCAUAGAUCUUAGGAAGUAGGAGGCAGCUUCCCAGAAGUGAUGUAAAAUGGUGGCGCAAAAGAGGCUGCUGGUGACAACAUGGGCAGGGCACUUCCUCAGAGGCUGCUGGUCGCAGACAACUUCUGGUCUUGAUUUCCCAAUAUGUUGUGCUGAGAUAGGGCUUUACCAGAAAGCAAAAUAAGCCACGUAAAAAGGAAUGACAAAGCAUUUGGGGUGUCCAUGCAAAGGUGCAGUUCCCCCUUGUCCACUAACUUUGGUGGAGCCAGAAUAACUAAUCCAGAGGCUGCCAGCAUAGAGCCUUUGAUUCAGAUCUACAGCUUUUUUGGCUUGAAUUCCUCCAAAGAGAGCUUUUCUAGUUGACUGUUCAUCAUCUUUCUUCUAGCACUGCUCUCAAACUGCCUUAGUAAUCUAAUUCUCACAUCUUUUCUCCCCCAGGGAGUCUUCGACAGAAGCAACUUAAAUCUUCAUACCUUUCCCAGCUCCUCACAGUUGGGUUCAUGGAUGCCCUUCACCCACUUGCUUCAACUUCUACUCUAUCCAUGUUCCUACCCUAAGUGUAGAGCAUUUUGUUUUGGAUAAGACUUUUGGCUUCAUUCAGGCCUCUGGGGUCCUUCCAACACAUUUCCCAGAAGGCUAUUCUAGGAAUGGUCUCCACCCCUCACCUCCUGAAAUUUGACAGGGUCUGGACCUCUCUUCUUUGUGAAAUUAGUGCAACUCUGUGGAAGUGUCUGGAUAUAUCACACCCCUUCCUGUCUCCCCAACCACCACACCCAUACAGAAGAUCUAGUGAUGUAGCUAGGAUCUGCUGAUCACCAGGACUUUGUAGCCAGUGCCCCCAGCAGGGAGGGACUCCUGGAUAGGUUUACUAUACUGUGAACGACACCUAUGUCCACUACUCUCUGCCUCUCUUCCAUCUCACCUUUAUUUUGUCUUUUCCCUAAGAAGACAAAGAUCUGUCCAGUUGUCCUGCCUUGACCCCCUAGUCUUAUCUUGGACUAGAACUCUGCUGUCAACCCCUCAACAGGGGCUGGGGCUUUUGCUUUCCAGCCUCUCUAAGGUCAGGUCACUUCUCUGAUACUGGAGACUUUUCUUUUUUUUUUUUUUAAUUUUUUUUUUA